Mustela lutreola (European mink) is the source of this 267-nucleotide long non-coding RNA. RefSeq lists it as uncharacterized. The transcript is spliced from 3 exons. NCBI's taxonomy places the organism in Eukaryota, Metazoa, Chordata, Mammalia, Carnivora, Mustelidae. The record is from RefSeq and is a predicted model, not a curated record.
GAAGCAUUUUUUAGCCAUCCUUUUCUUGAACAAGUUCCAGUGAAAAAAUCCUGCCCAGUUCCAGUGCCCGUGUAUGCUGGCUCCGUCUCUGGCAGCUCCUGUGGCAGCUCUCCAUCCUGUCGCUUUGCCUCUCCACCAUCCCUUUCAGAUAUGCAGCAUAUUCAGGAAGAAAACUUAUCCUCCCCACCAUUGGGUCCUCCCAACUAUCUACAAGUGUCCAAAGAUUCUGCCAGGACUAGUAGCAAGAACUCUUCUUGUGACACGGAU